Molecule: long non-coding RNA, 208 nt
Filed under: Gallus gallus (chicken)
Lineage: Eukaryota; Metazoa; Chordata; Aves; Galliformes; Phasianidae
Source: RNAcentral
UGGAUGAAGAGAGAGCUGUGAUGUCUGCAGUUGUAAUUCCUGCAACAGGGGAUCCUAAUGCAGUGUUGCUUGGUGCCUUGUGAACUCCAGCACUGGCUAUUUUCAUCUUUAAGCCACAGUUAAUCCAUGACCUUAGUGCUUUUGUCUCCGGGUCUGAAUUAUCAUGGCAAUGCCGAAUAAGUAUUCCUAUGGGGAAAGCAAAAAUGCU